ACGUAAUAGAUACCCCGGUAGUCCACGCCCUAAACGAUGUCUACUAGUUGUCGGGUUUUAAUUAACUUGGUAACGCAGCUAAACGCGUGAAAGUAGACCGCCUGGGGAGUACGGUCGCAAGAUUAAAACUCAAAGGAAUUGACGGGGACCCGCACAAGCGGUGGAUGAUGUGGAUUAAUUCGAUGCAACGCGAAAAACCUUACCUACCCUUGACAUGGCAGGAAUCCCGAAGAGAUUUGGGAGUGCUCGAAAGAGAACCUGCACACAGGUGCUGCAUGGCUGUCGUCAGCUCGUGUCGUGAGAUGUUGGGUUAAGUCCCGCAACGAGCGCAACCCUUGUCAUUAGUUGCUACGAAAGAGCACUCUAAUGAGACUGCCGGUGACAAACCGGAGGAAGGUGGGGAUGACGUCAAGUCCUCAUGGCCCUUAUGGGUAGGGCUUCACACGUCAUACAAUGGUACAUACAGAGGGCCGCCAACCCGCGAGGGGGAGCUAAUCCCAGAAAGUGUAUCGUAGUCCGGAUUGUAGUCUGCAACUCGACUAC
This 543-nucleotide ribosomal RNA is filed under the name uncultured bacterium. RNAcentral's name for it is "bacterial SSU rRNA". It matches the Rfam family "Bacterial small subunit ribosomal RNA", at positions 772 to 1319 of the family's 1533-position model. The record is from RNAcentral.